This 75-nucleotide transfer RNA is filed under the name Tolypothrix sp. FACHB-123. RNAcentral describes it as "tRNA-Lys". It matches the Rfam family "tRNA". Rfam says of the family: Transfer RNA (tRNA) molecules are approximately 80 nucleotides in length. The record is from RNAcentral. Lineage: Bacteria; Bacillati; Cyanobacteriota; Cyanophyceae; Nostocales; Tolypothrichaceae.
GGGUCGUUGGCAGAGCGGAUAUGCAACUGCCUUUUAAGCAGACUUAUCCAGGUUCAACUCCUGGGCGACCCACCA